AACGAACGCUGGCGGCAGGCUUAACACAUGCAAGUCGAACGCCUGUAGCAAUACAGGAGUGGCAGACGGGUGAGUAACACGUGGGAACGUGCCCUUCGGUUCGGAAUAACUCAGGGAAACUUGGGCUAAUACCGGAUACGUCCGCGAGGAGAAAGAUUCAUCGCCGAAGGAUCGGCCUGCGUCCGAUUAGCUAGUUGGUGGGGUAAUGGCUCACCAAGGCGACGAUCGGUAGCUGGUCUGAGAGGAUGAUCAGCCACACUGGGACUGAGACACGGCCCAGACUCCGACGGGAGGCAGCAGUGGGGAAUAUUGGACAAUGGGCGCAAGCCUGAUCCAGCCAUGCCGCGUGGGUGAUGAAGGCCCUAGGGUUGCAAAGCCCUUUCGGCGGGGAAGAUAAUGACGGUACCCGCAGAAGAAGCCCCGGCUAACUUCGUGCCAGCAGCCGCGGUAA
This 451-nucleotide ribosomal RNA is filed under the name uncultured bacterium. Its description in RNAcentral is "partial 16S ribosomal RNA". It matches the Rfam family "Bacterial small subunit ribosomal RNA", at positions 29 to 523 of the family's 1533-position model. The record is from RNAcentral.